CCUACGGGAGGCAGCAGUGGGGAAUAUUGCACAAUGGGGGAAACCCUGAUGCAGCGACGCCGCGUGAGUGAAGAAGUAUUUCGGUAUGUAAAGCUCUAUCAGCAGGGAAGAAAAUGACGGUACCUGUUUAAGAAGCCCCGGCUAACUACGUGCCAGCAGCCGCGGUAAUACGUAGGGGGCAAGCGUUAUCCGGAUUUACUGGGUGUAAAGGGAGCGUAGACGGCAGCACAAGUCUGGAGUGAAAUGCCGGGGCUUAACCCCGGAACUGCUUUGGAAACUGUGCAGCUAGAGUGCAGGAGAGGUAAGUGGAAUUCCCGGUGUAGCGGUGAAAUGCGUAGAUAUUGGGAGGAACACCAGUGGCGAAGGCGGCUUACUGGACUGUAACUGACGUUGAGGCACGAAAGCGUGGGGAGCAAACAGGAUUAGAUACCCUUGUAGUC
Molecule: ribosomal RNA, 440 nt
Filed under: uncultured bacterium
Lineage: Bacteria
Description: partial 16S ribosomal RNA
Rfam family: Bacterial small subunit ribosomal RNA
Source: RNAcentral